UGGGGAAUUGUUCGCAAUGGGCGCAAGCCUGACGACGCAACGCCGCGUGGAGGAUGAAGAUCUUCGGGUCGUAAACUCCUUUCGAUCGAGACGAAUUUCCCGGAGGUGAACAAUCUCCGGGGUUGACGGUACCGAGAGAAGAAGCCCCGGCUAACUCCGUGCCAGCAGGCGCGGUAAUACGGGGGGGCAAGCGUUGUUCGGAAUUACUGGGCGUAAAGGGCUCGUAGGCGGCCAACUAAGUCGGACGUGAAAUCCCUCGGCUCAACCGAGGAACUGCGUCCGAUACUGGAUGGCUUGAGUUCGGGAGAGGGAUGCGGAAUUCCAGGUGUAGCGGUGAAAUGCGUAGAUAUCUGGAGGAACACCGGUGGCGAAGGCGGCAUCCUGGACCGACACUGGCGCUGAGUGAGCGAGAGCCAGGGGAGCAAACGGGAUUAGAUACCCCGGUAGUCCUGGCCCUAAACGAUGAAUGCUUGGUGCGGCGGGUAUCGAUCCCUGCCGUGCCGAAGCUAACG
This 512-nucleotide ribosomal RNA is filed under the name uncultured Acidobacteriota bacterium. RNAcentral's name for it is "bacterial SSU rRNA". It matches the Rfam family "Bacterial small subunit ribosomal RNA", at positions 355 to 857 of the family's 1533-position model. The record is from RNAcentral. Lineage: Bacteria; Pseudomonadati; Acidobacteriota.